Molecule: long non-coding RNA, 5521 nt
Organism: Cuculus canorus (common cuckoo)
Lineage: Eukaryota; Metazoa; Chordata; Aves; Cuculiformes; Cuculidae
Exons: 4
Source: RefSeq, a predicted model, not a curated record
UUCUCUGCAGACGAUCCUGGGGCACAGAAAAGGAGCUAAUGUGAACGCACUGGCUUCCACAUCGAGACAGAAAUGUGGAAAAGAAAAAACCAAAAUCAAUGCCGUCAAGUGAGCAGAAUCAAUAGGUAAAGCAAAGAUAGCAUCAGACUGCUUGGAGAACAUUACCAGCAAAGUGAAGUUGCUUAUAUGCCACGGAACAGCUGCAAUAAGGAGCUUGUCAAAUUUACAGUCCACAUGGAAUACAGAUGCAGCAGAAACAUCCACCGUCAUGUUGAUGGCAGUGCAUUCCAAUUAUCUUGGUGCCGGUGCAGGGGAGAGUAUUUUUUGUCCUCAGGAAGCAAUGCCAUGACACCGCAUGUUACAAGAAUAGGUUUCUUUCCCGAUUUCUGAGGACUGAUGGGUGAUGUUUUAUAAGGUGUACUGCCCGUGUUAGCUCCUCUGAGGUCUUACUGAGAUCAUUCGACAAGUGAUAAGGACAGAGUAGUCCUGGUUGCCAUGUGUGAAGACACAAAAAGAUGCAUUCUUGAUUAGCUCCAUUCUCCAAAGGGCUUGCUGCUGCAGAAUUACAAGGAGCUUCUAUGAAUCUCAUGCCUGCCACUCAUCUGGGCUCUGCUGGUCUAACAAAUUGCUGUGAUUUAGAUAACUCAUCAGAAGGUGUUCUGUGCGGCUGGGUCAGCGUUCUGCCACGCUGUGGUUCCUUCCCCCACUGACGCUCUCCCCAGGCUGAAGGCUGCCAUUUGCACCUUCCACACAUCACCCUGCAGAUCUUGUCAGGCUUGGCAAUCCUGAAGUGGAUUUCUGAGGCUGUUGGGGCUCAGCACUGCUGCAUGCAAGCCCAGUAAAAGAUUUGUCGUGCUUUGGGUAUAGAAUGUGCACAAAUAAUGCCAUAGAUUGAAGAUGUUAAAAAAACCACCUAAUUUUAUUAGAAACCCAGCUGAGCUGCACCUGUCUUUUAAUUUACUCUUGGGCGAUGCCACGUUCCCAUCACGUUAUGGGUCCAGUAUCUUGGGUCCAGAUCCCCCUCUGUUUUCUGAAGGGAAAUUCAAAAGUGUUAAGCAGACUGCAUUAGAGAAUCAGUUGGUCUAAGCCCAAACUCAGUGAUCAGACUGAUUGCAAAAGCUUCUGACUAGUGUAUAUAAUAGGACUUGUUCCUUUGAAAUAAACAUUGUUUUGUCUUCUCUAAGCAGUGAAAUCCUGUCAAUCUGAAAGGGAAGAAGGGUAAAUCAGGCUACAGUGAGGUGUGUUGUGUAAGCAGCAGAUGAGAUGGCAAGGGAUACCCUCCCCUAAGAACCAGAUCUAAGAGCCUGUUGCUGCCCAAACUGAUUCCGUUAAUAUGAAGACAUUUAGAGUAAAAAACAUUUAGCAGUAGAUCGAUAAACAGAUAGGCAUUUAGAUUUGAUACUUGGCCACAACUAUACGGACUGACAUUGGGGAAAAAAAGCUGUUGUGUAGUUGUGUCGCUAGUUGUGAGGGGACAGUAAACUUUGGUGGGAAAGGGGAAAACGCACUGCUGAGUAGCUCUGGGUGUCUUCAGAAAUACUCAGAAGUGCACAUCCACUCAUACCAGCUGAACAGAUCAAAAACUCAAACCUCUUCUCUCUGUCACAUCAAAAACCUACAGGUGAAACCUUAAUUUACUGAAAGGUUUCACUAAACAGCUUAUCUCACAGCAUAGAGCAUUUCUUACUACCUACAGACCUUUAUUGGGUACUCGAGAGGUAUAGAUGAUCUGUUUGGGCCUGAGAAAGAAGCAGACUUGGAGAUAAUGUAAAUACCUGUUUUCUUGUAGCAGCAUGAGGUAAUGUCAUGCCAAAGAACAGAUGAUGCAAAGAUAAUAGGCAGGCUGUUCUUUAUCUUAUUCAGAAGUUACAAGGGCAGUUAAACUUCCUAGGGUUUUUCUUCUAAAACCUAGAAAAUACCCUAAUCUAAUAACAACUCACAUAAAGAUAAUGUAGAAAGAAGUCUCCUGCAAAACAAGGGUAAACUUAAAGCAGCACACAGGUGCUUAUAUUUGGAUUGAAUUUGGAGUAAUUCAACGCUGAAGGUUAAAGGGCAAACUCUUAGCUGGGCAAAUUAGAUUUAAAAUGCAAUUUUAAGACCAACAGACUGAUUUGAAAGUUGUAAAUUCAUUCAGCUUUUUGAUACUGGGGGCAGAGGGAAGAACUUUUCAAAACAUGAACAUUAUUGUUGCAGAUACCUAAAGCUCACUCAGAGUUUAUAAUGCUCCUUUGCAUAAUGACUUACAAAAUUCAAAAUAAGGCCAUAAACAGCACUGGUAAAAUUCAUUACAAGGAGAGAUGUGCUAGGAGAAAACAGUAUGCGCCUUCAUUUUGAAAGAUACUCCUGCAUUGUCAUAAUGUUAUUUAGAGCUAUUACUUAGUACUGAGUCUUGGCCUUUGUAACUGACUUCAUGACUAGAAAACUUUAAAUCAAAGAGAGUGAAGUGUUGAUAUGCUCUAUACUCUUUAAUGGGCUUCUAUAUAGAAUUAGAUUGUGAAGCAGCUGUGAUUUGUAUCAGAAAGGUCUUAUCUUCCUAGUGACUUAAACAAAUGACCUGGGACUUUUCAGAUGUCAAAAGAGUCAGGAAAACAUCAGUCAGUGAAUAAAACAUUUAAAUUUCCCAAUCAACAGUGCAAAGUUCACCUCUAAAAUACCUUGAAUGAAUACAUGCUGUCAGCUAUUUUUGCUGCUUAUAUGUUAUCAUUCUUUUGUUUUAAUUUACUCCAUUGUUCCCUGGAAUUCCCUUUACCUUAAUAUGAAAGCUGGCAUUACUAAGUAGCUUUAUUAAUCAUUUCACCCUGGCUUUCCCAGUAGUUCAAUUAGAUGUUUACUAGAAAACAAGCACAGAUUGAAAACUCCUGAUAUAUAUCAUCCUAUCCCUGUCAGGAACACAAAACCUCGCAGAUAAAAGCAAAACAUACUAUUCUUUGGAAAUGUAAGAGAUCUCUCCUUUCAAAACUCCAGGUCAUAUUUUUGAGAAUUUUUGUACAAAAUUCUAGUUUUUACUCUGUGCAGUAAAGGAAUUCAAACGCUCUUUUGAAACCAAAUGGCUGGCAGCCCUCCCUUCUCUUCCUUUGCUUAUACCAACUUCCUCAUAGGCCAUCGAGUGCCUUCACUGUUACGUACUACAAGGUGUACAAACAGGGAGGAGAAAAAUUACUUCUCAUAAACCCCCUGAUUCCUGCAACCAGAACCUAAAGGUACAGGUUUGAAGGCACAGGGGCAGAACAGGAGUAGAAAACCCAGUAGACAUGAAGAACAUCUGUUUGGACAGGUUGUAAUAAAGAGCCACAGAAUAUGUGUGACCUGUGAGAAAAGCUGCAGCGGAGCAUUAGAGCCAUAGCAGUUCUCCCUGAUGUUGGAAGUACUAUUGAAUAACUGUCUGCAAAAUUAGCUAUGCUGAAUUCCGAUGACAGAGAUGUGUAAAGAAUGAUCAUCAUAGUCACAUAUGUCUGUGGAUUCCUCUCGCAUACUCACACAUAGAUAUGACUAUACUUACUGGAUGGCAUUUAGCUGUUCUUUGGUUCAGCCGUAUUCAGACUUUAUCUACAAAAAGAAGUGAAAACAACCAUAAUGUUCCUAAACAUGCACAUGUGCACAAAAAUUCUCUUGCAUGCAGGAAUACAUAGAGUCAUGUUUCCAGGAAUUUAUAUACAGUGAAAUAUGAUAAUGACAUAUGCUGCCUGCGUUGAAUAGGUUGUUCCAAACUCACCUUAGAUUAACUUUAAUCGCGAAACUCUUUUGCCUAUAGCAGAUUUUAUUUCCAGGAUAUUGUGUUCUUGGAUCUGAGACUUGGCAGGUGACACUUAGGAGUUUUUGACAUAUUUGUUACAUAAAUGACAGCUUUCAGCAGUGCACACAGGAAUGUUUUUAAUAUGUGAAUAGGCAAGUCAUGUCUGGGACAUACACUUGUUUUCAUGUGGCUUAGAGAUCUUCAAACUGUCACUCACACAAUUGCUAGGCAAGGCUGCAGGCUCUCCAGGGUGUGGCGGCCACCACUAUACUGACAGGUUGGUUACAGUUGUUAGUUCUCUGCAAGGGUUUUGUGACAGAGCCAAAAGAUACAGAGAGGGGGGAAGGCAGUAGAAACUGAUAUUAGAAGCAGCUAAAAAAAAUAAUCAUAAGAGGCUUCACGUUCAUUUCCACACUGGUUAUGCAUAAUUUCUGAAACAAAAAAUCACAACAAAACGUGGUUGAAACACAAAAAUAACCUGCCUCCAAAAUUAUGUUUGUUUUUUGUUAUGCAUUUCAUCAUGGUUCAGCUUCCUCAUUUGUCAUGGUGAGGGAAAAGUGAAAUGCAGUGACCCAGACAGAUGGGAUAUGGACUCAAACACACAUGGUAAAUGUGCGGCGAGUCAAGUAUUCUGCAUUGUACUUAUGGCAAGAAGGUUGUCUUUAGCUUAGAGGCUCUUAGCAGAGAGACGGGUGUAGUAGCAAAAGCCGGAAAAAAACUUCAUUUAUUUCGAAGUUAUUCUUACAGUUACUUUGAGGAAUUGAAUGGCAGUUGGGUUUGAUCGUUUACAUAGCAACUAUGGUUUGGGCAAGAUCUUCCCUUGUAUAGCUUUCCUAUUUCUAAAGCACCGUCAUUCCGGUGUGAAACGUCCUCAGCUUUUCUACUGAUGCACGUGCUUGUGUGGGCACAAGUACUCCUAUACACACACCUGGGCAAUGCAUUACAUUUCUUGACACCUCUAGCUGUUUAAAUUCCGAGCCUGCACACAGCUCUUCAGAGACAGCACUUGCACAACGAUGAUGAAGCAUUUCUGUAUGCAAAGACUGUCAGUCAUGCCAGAUUGCACUGUGACAGUGAGAUCCUGAUAAAAAUUAGUUUACAUUUUGAAAAAGGAGCCUCAAAAAGGGAAAGCAUCAUGUAAUUUUAUUGUAGGCUCUCUGAAUUGAUUUAAAUUCCUUUAAAAAAGUGUCCACGCGAUUUCUCUUGCUUCUGGUUUGCUCUGGAAAAUGCACAUGACCGAUCUGCAAUCUGUUCUAAUGGUUGAGUAUUGAUCUAGAAGUCCUCAUUCACAAAUAAGAGGCAUUUGGGCAAAAUGUUUACAGUCUGCUAACAAUGCAGCCCCUCAAAGAGCAGCAAUGACUGUUACAGAAGCAGAGCAUGAAAAUGUCAUCUGCCAUUUCUGCAGCAACCUGCAGCUAUGCCUUCGGGAUCCACUUAUUAAUCAAGCGUUCACCUUCCAGAUGUUCAGCCUCAAUUGGCUGCUGGGGACAUUGCCUUCAAGCAAUGUUGAGAUAUUGGGAGAAUCACAGUUUAAGGUGUUCACAGAAGCUUGCAUACUGUCCUGCAGAAUAUUUGUGCUAUAUUGCUAUGCAAAGGGAAUGAGUAGAUAAGUACCUCUGUCUCUUUUGCUUUUUUUGUUUUGAAGACGGUUUCUUCCUACUGGAUUUCUUGAUGCCUUUCUGUUCUUUCCGUUUUGGAAAGGCAGCAUUGUAUACUUUAGCUCAGCCUCAAUAAGCUUUGAUUGUGAAAUGUAAGAUUUUGAAAACAAGAAAUAAAUUAUCCCUCUUA